This is a long non-coding RNA of Chiroxiphia lanceolata (lance-tailed manakin), 276 nucleotides long. RefSeq lists it as uncharacterized. The transcript has 3 exons. Lineage: Eukaryota; Metazoa; Chordata; Aves; Passeriformes; Pipridae. The record is from RefSeq and is a predicted model, not a curated record.
CAUUCCUGAGGUAAAAAACUUCUGAUUUUGUGCUCUGGGGCAGAUUUGGGGUUGAAGAGGCAGAUUUUGGGAGGUGGGAGGAAAUCCUGAGGGAAAGUCAGUUUUUGAGGCAAAAAAAAAGAGAUUUUGGUGUGGAGGAGGCAGAUUUUGAGGAGUGGGAGGAAAUCCUGAGGGAAAAGAAGCAGGUUUUGAGGUAAAAAAUUCUGAUUUGGGGGUCUGGGGGCAGGUUUUGGGGUGGAAAAGGCAGAUUUUGGGUGGUGGGAGGAAAUCCUGAGG